Molecule: ribosomal RNA, 465 nt
Filed under: uncultured bacterium
Lineage: Bacteria
Description: partial 16S ribosomal RNA
Rfam family: Bacterial small subunit ribosomal RNA
Source: RNAcentral
GACGAACGCUGGCGGCGUGCUUAACACAUGCAAGUCGAGCGAGGCCCCUCCUUCGGGAGGGUGUCCUAGCGGCGAGCGGGUGAGUAACACGUGGGCAACCUGCCCUCAGCUCUGGGAUAACUCCGGGAAACCGGGGCUAAUACCGGAUACGACCUCCACGGGCAUCUGCGGAGGUGGAAAGUUUUUCGGCUGAGGAUGGGCCCGCGGCCUAUCAGCUAGUUGGUGGGGUAGUGGCCCACCAAGGCGACGACGGGUAGCCGGCCUGAGAGGGCGACCGGCCACACUGGGACUGAGACACGGCCCAGACUCCUACGGGAGGCAGCAGUGGGGAAUAUUGCGCAAUGGGCGAAAGCCUGACGCAGCGACGCCGCGUGAGGGACGAAGGCCUUCGGGUUGUAAACCUCUUUCAGCAGGGACGAAGCGAAAGUGACGGUACCUGCAGAAGAAGCACCGGCCAACUACGUG